UACGUAGGGUGCAAGCGUUGAUCGGAAUUACUGGGCGUAAAGCGUGCGCAGGCGGCUUUGCAAGACAGAUGUGAAAUCCCCGGGCUUAACCUGGGAACUGCAUUUGUGACUGCAUGGCUGGAGUGCGGCAGAGGGGGAUGGAAUUCCGCGUGUAGCAGUGAAAUGCGUAGAUAUGCGGAGGAACACCGAUGGCGAAGGCAAUCCCCUGGGCCUGCACUGACGCUCAUGCACGAAAGCGUGGGGAGCAAACAGG
Molecule: ribosomal RNA, 253 nt
Filed under: uncultured bacterium
Lineage: Bacteria
Description: partial 16S ribosomal RNA
Rfam family: Bacterial small subunit ribosomal RNA
Source: RNAcentral